Molecule: ribosomal RNA, 487 nt
Filed under: uncultured bacterium
Lineage: Bacteria
Description: bacterial SSU rRNA
Rfam family: Bacterial small subunit ribosomal RNA
Source: RNAcentral
GAUGAAACGCUAGCGGCAGGCCUAACACAUGCAAGUCGAGGGGCAUCGCGGUGCAGCAAUGCACUGGCGGCGACCGGCGUACGGGUGCGUAACGCGUAUGCAACCUGCCCCGCACCGGGGGAUAGCCCGCCGAAAGGCGGAUUAAUACCCCAUGGUCCCGGGGGCCCGCAUGGGCAUCCGGGUAAAGCCUUGGCGGUGCGGGAUGGGCAUGCGUGCCAUUAGCUGGCUGGUGGGGUAACGGCCCACCAGGGCAACGAUGGCUAGGGGGUCUGAGAGGAUGGUCCCCCACACUGGUACUGAGACACGGACCAGACUCCUACGGGAGGCAGCAGUGAGGAAUAUUGGUCAAUGGGCGGAAGCCUGAACCAGCCAUGCCGCGUGCGGGAUGAAGGCCCUACGGGUUGUAAACCGCUUUUCCCCGGGAAGAAUAACCCCGAUGAGUCGGGGGAUGCCGGUACCGGGGGAAUAAGGAUCGGCUAACUCCGUG